This 76-nucleotide transfer RNA is filed under the name bacterium. Its description in RNAcentral is "tRNA-Ala". It matches the Rfam family "tRNA". From Rfam's summary of the family: Transfer RNA (tRNA) molecules are approximately 80 nucleotides in length. Their secondary structure includes four short double-helical elements and three loops (D, anti-codon, and T loops). Further hydrogen bonds mediate the characteristic L-shaped molecular structure. tRNAs have two regions of fundamental functional importance: the anti-codon, which is responsible for specific mRNA codon recognition, and the 3' end, to which the tRNAs corresponding amino acid is attached (by aminoacyl-tRNA synthetases). tRNAs cope with the degeneracy of the genetic code in two manners: having more than one tRNA (with a specific anti-codon) for a particular amino acid; and 'wobble' base-pairing, i.e. permitting non-standard base-pairing at the 3rd anti-codon position. The record is from RNAcentral.
GGGCGAGUAGCUCAGUUGGGAGAGCACCGGCUUUGCAAGCCGGGGGUCGCGGGUUCGAAACCCGUCUCGUCCACCA